AUUUUGUUUUUAUGCUCAAAAUGUUGGGCAGGAUACUUUUGUAGCUCACAUAUGUUGUUGCUUCUCUGCUGGCUCAUUUGAUGGCUAUGGGGCAGCAGCUCAGCCUGCCACCACCUCUAGAUGUUUCUUCAGCUUCUCCAACUCCAAGGCUGGCAUUCUCUCUCUUGCUGCCCUGUGAAGAGGUGCCUUCUGCCAUAAUUUUACAGAGCUUUCACUCUAGCAUCUGAAAAAGGAACCAACUCCUGCUAAAUCUUGAGAAUUGACACAUUGAAGCCUUAUCUUCAGACUCUGAAAAAGGCUGGAAGCUUAUCAUGGGCCUGGAUCUUGUGCUAUUCAAAUGUUUUCACCGAUGCCUACAACUGUAUUUGGCACAUAGAAGUGCAGAGUGCUUUUUCCACCAAAGAAGAGACAUUGUACUCUUUUUGGGGUUAUAUUAAUGACUAAUUCACCUCUCUGUCCUCCUCAAUGCCAUCUGUCUUUUGUUUGGUCUCCCUGAUGUUAGUCACGAAGUCUGCUUAGAAGGAUUUAUGUCUUACUUUGAUAUAGGUUCUAUACUCAAUGCUAGGGAACAAUCAUUGGCAAGAUGUGUCUCCUUUACUCAAAGAGGUUUUAAUGGUCUAUGUUUGGAAAAGAGACAUACAGUCAUUAGAAUGCAAUAUUGUGAAAGUUGACAAGGGAAAUUCUUGGGGUUAUGGGAAUCUUCAAUAUCUUUAUUGAGAAAUACAGAUAUACACAUUUAUCAAAACUCAUAAAAUGAUGAAUUUGUAGUAUUUUAUUGUGUAUAAAUUAUGCCUCAAUAAAAGUUCAUUGUAAUGUGCUGAAAGAAUAAAUGAUAAAGAA
RNAcentral lists this long non-coding RNA (840 nucleotides) under Homo sapiens (human). RNAcentral's name for it is "HSALNT0297250". Lineage: Eukaryota; Metazoa; Chordata; Mammalia; Primates; Hominidae. The record is from RNAcentral.